RNAcentral lists this transfer RNA (69 nucleotides) under Ictidomys tridecemlineatus (thirteen-lined ground squirrel). RNAcentral describes it as "Spermophilus tridecemlineatus (thirteen-lined ground squirrel) tRNA". It matches the Rfam family "tRNA". Rfam says of the family: Transfer RNA (tRNA) molecules are approximately 80 nucleotides in length. Their secondary structure includes four short double-helical elements and three loops (D, anti-codon, and T loops). Lineage: Eukaryota; Metazoa; Chordata; Mammalia; Rodentia; Sciuridae. The record is from Rfam by way of RNAcentral.
GGAGUUCUGGCUCAAUGGUAGAGCACUUGCCUGGCAUGCAUGAGGCCCUAGGUUCAAUCCUCAGCACCA